This 253-nucleotide ribosomal RNA is filed under the name uncultured bacterium. RNAcentral describes it as "partial 16S ribosomal RNA". It matches the Rfam family "Bacterial small subunit ribosomal RNA", at positions 524 to 776 of the family's 1533-position model. The record is from RNAcentral.
UACAGAGGGUGCGAGCGUUAAUCGGAAUUACUGGGCGUAAAGGGUGCGUAGGUGGUUAAAUAAGUCAGAUGUGAAAGCCCUUGGCUUAACUGAGGAAGUGCAUCCGAAACUGGCAAGCUAGAGUACUAAAGAGGGUCGCGGAAUUCCCGGUGUAGAGGUGAAAUUCGUAGAUAUCGGAAGGAACACCGGUGGCGAAGGCGGCGACGUGGGUAGAUACUGACGCUGAGGUGCGAAAGCGUGGGGAACAAACAGG